This is a non-coding RNA of Aethalodelphis obliquidens (Pacific white-sided dolphin), 614 nucleotides long. Lineage: Eukaryota; Metazoa; Chordata; Mammalia; Artiodactyla; Delphinidae. The record is from the annotation of a RefSeq genome assembly.
GACCUGGAGAGGCCAGUCCAGCUGGGCAGCCUCAGUGCAGAGCUCGCAGAAGGACCUCCCACCAUGACCUGGGUGCCCUUCUACCUCCUGCCCCUCCUGUUCAACACAGGUCUCUGUGCUGUGCCUGUGCUGACCCAGACCCCGUCUGCAUCUUCUUCCCUGGGAGGCUCGGCCAAGCUCACCUGCACCCUGAGCAGUGAGCACAGCACGUACUACAUUGAGUGGUAUCAACAGAGAGUAGGGCAGGCCCCUAGGUAUCUGAUGAAGCUGACCAGUGACGGAAGCGUCACCAAGGGGGAUGGGAUCCCCGACCGCUUCUCAGGCUCCAGCUCUGGGGCUGACCGCUACCUGACCAUCGCCAACAUCCAGUCUGAGGACGAGACUGAGUAUAUCUGUGGUGUCAGCUAUAACACUGACGGCCAAGUUGGAUGCCACAGUGACACAGACCUAGGGGAAGUGAGGCCAAAACCUCCCUCCCUUGCCCUCCGUCCCACGCACCAGGGUUCUGUGGCCUCUUCUGCGCUGACUCAGCCACCUGCGGUGUCUGUGUCCUUGGGACAGACGGCCAGGAUCACCUGCCAGGGAGACAGCUUAGGAAGCUAUUAUGCUCAAUG